GUUUUAAAGGAUAAGGGGCAGCCAGUGCUCCCUGAUUUUGGAAAGGAGGUGAAUCUGGGGUAAGGCAAAAUGUCAGCUCUACAUGCAGUACAACAGUCCCAGAGUGCUCAGUCAGCCAAGACCCAGGGUGGGUUGACACUUACAUACCUGAGUUCCUGUUGAGCACGUGGCUUAUUCUUUUAUGCUGAGACUCUCAGAAAGAAAGAAAGGAAGGAAGAAAGAAAGGAGAAGAGAGGAGAGAGGGAGAGAGGAGAAAGAGAGGGAGAAAAAGAAAAAGAAAGAUGAGAGCAGAGAAGAAGGAAGAAAGGAAGGAAAAAGGAAGAAGGAAGGAAAAAAAGAGAGUAAGAAAGAAAGGAGAGGGAAGGAGGAAGGAAGAAAGAACAAAAGAAAAAGAAAAAAACAAACAACCAAAUAAGCAAAAAUAUCUAAACUGAAUCACAGAGGAGAAUGUAGUCAAUGCAAGUUACCACAAUAUGCUGUGGGAACACAGGAGGGGAGAAGUGGUGUCCAGGGUGGCCAUGUGUGUCAGUGGUGGAGGGCAAAUAGGAAAGAGGACAAGGUCAGUGCAUAAAUCACAGGUGAAAGAACAUCUUGUGUAUUCAUUCAUUCAUUCAUUCAUUCGACAAAUAGUAAUUUUUCCUUUCUUGGCUAGGGAAUACAGACCUGUCCCCUGUCCUGUGGGAGCUUAAAUCUCAUGAAGAAGACAGACAAAGAUAAUAUAAUGACCCAGAUAAAAUGUAAACUUGUGGAAAGUGUAGGGAAGGAGAGAGCUGUGUUUGCUGUAAGUGGGUAUAACCAGGGGAUUUCCCCCACCCAGGGAGGUCAGAGAAGGAUGUUUAAGGGUGGGUGAGAUUUCAACACCUCAGAGGAGGGCGAGAUAUCCUAUUAGGAGAAACAGACUGGGCAGUGAGCAGGGCUGGAAAGGGCUGGCCAGGUGUAGGGAAAGAUGAGUGGUCUGGACCCAUGAAAAUGGCAGGGAAUGAAUGAGAGACAAUGAGGUACGAGGCUCUGCGCCUGGCAGUUUCUAUGUUUGGAGUUUAUGUUACACUUAGAACAAUCCUGUAAGCCCUAAAGGUGAUGUUGAACCUCUGAUUCUGCUACAGUACUAAGAUUUAUUAUGUCACUGGAGGGCAGUGAAGAUAUGAUGUGACAUGAUGUACAGAGCAAACCAACUGGCCCUCUUGCAACUGGAACUCUUGAAUGGAACACUUGCUCUUGGAGUCCUGAGGGGCCAUUGAAGGUAUCCAACUACUCUGAGGCUCCCAUGCUGGAGAGAUCCCAGGUAAGUGCUCCAGUUGAGGGUCUCAGCUGACCCCAGUCUUCCAGCUGUCCUUGCCAAGGUGCCAGAUGUAUGAGAGCCCCUCCAGACCAGACCAUCUUUUAGUCCAGUGCCACCAAGUCAACUCUGUUGAUGCCACAUGGAACAGACGAACCACUCAGCUGUGCCCUGUCCAAAUUCCUGACCUAAAAAAUUCUGAGCUGUGGACACAAGUCUUAUGAGUUCAUCUAUAAACAUAAGCAUAGAAAGCAGUAGAAGCCACACCUGUGGUGAGGAGCUCUCCAUAUGGGGUUGAGGUGGCACAAACCAAAGAGCGGGGCUUGCCAGAGAUCUAGGCGAAGUCAGAGAGAAAGCAUCAUAGCAGCCUGUGCUCAGAAGUCCCUGGGAACGUCCUGAACCUUCCGAGGGUGACCCUGGAGAAAACACUCACCACUGAGUGACUCACAGCCUCUUCUCUGAGCCACUGAAGUCAAAACAGGGAUCCGAAGCUUGCUCCCGGCCACUUCACCUUGUCGUUGAGCAUCCUCUUCCUCUGGAAACACUGGCCUCCUAGUUCUUGGUCUUUUCUUCUCUUCUUUCCUGUAGAGUCUGUGAAAAAAAAAAGAUGAACUCACACUUUCAUGUAGUUAAUACUAAACUUAAUUAAUCCUGGCAACAGCCUAUGGGAAGGGUGUGGCAUUGCUUACUGCACUGAUUUAAUUGAGAUCUGAAUAGUUCUGGGGACUAAGAUCCCACAAUCCUAGUUUUUUUUUUUGUUUUGUUGGCAAAAUCCUGCCUAGUUUUUUUUGUUUUAUUGGGGGAUCAAGUUCCUGGAUUGCUAUUUGUAGACAGCAUUUACCUUAAAGCAGGUGCCUUCAAAGGAGAAACUCCUUACUGUUAGAAUUUUAGACAGCAUGGCAGGGUCUUGAAGUAGAUUUGUGGGAAUUUCCCUGGGACCCUCAGGUCACAUGACCAUUUAUUGGCCCUGCUCUGCAGGGCACCUUAGGUGAUGUAUUGCAAAGGCAGAUCAAGGGAAAGCAGAUGUUGCCAUGGAAAUGGCCCUGCCCCCAUUCAUUAUUAAAAGUUGUUGUUAUUGUUGUUUUUUGGCAGCAUCAAAUAGCAGUGAAAAUUUUUGAGGCAGCUGACCUAAAUUUUGAAUGUGAUCUCAUAGUCAGGGUUCUUAAAUUAGUGAAAACGAAUAUGCUUCCUACAGGAAAUUAUUUAAAAAGAUGACACAUGAGGAUUUAGUCCAGAAGCCACUGGAUUGAAAAGAUACCUCAGUGUGUCCAACCUGGGCAGAAAAGUCCUGCCAAAGAAACAUUUAUAAGGUUGCUUUUAAAUUGGAUUUGAUAAAAUAAAAGUUACAAUAAAAAAAUAAGCUGGGUUUGAGUUAAUAGUAGUAAAGGCAUGGGUAUAUGUUGUUAUUUAUUUGAGUUAUC
Molecule: long non-coding RNA, 2697 nt
Filed under: Homo sapiens (human)
Lineage: Eukaryota; Metazoa; Chordata; Mammalia; Primates; Hominidae
Description: HSALNT0036643
Source: RNAcentral